This 204-nucleotide unclassified non-coding RNA is filed under the name soil metagenome. RNAcentral describes it as "partial contains 5.8S ribosomal RNA, internal transcribed spacer 2, and large subunit ribosomal RNA". The record is from RNAcentral.
AACCAUUCUCACCUGCGGCUAGACCUGCGGAGGGAUCAUUACAGAGAUUGAUGCACCAAGUGCAUCACCUCCAACCCCUUGCGAAAACAACUAUCAUGUGUUGCUUUGGCAGUGUUUCCACUGCCAGAGGUUUACAUAAAAUCAGCUGUUGGAUGUUGUCUGAGUAAACUAUAUGAAUUAUUUAAAACUUUCAACAACGGAUCU